AUUCACUGUCAUGAUCGUGUGCAGGAUUGGACAAAACAAGAUGGCAGACGGCAUUUCCAAACAAAGGUAUCAAGCCCUAGAACUUCAUUCCAUGAGAUGGGUACACUUCGAAUGUGCAAAUUUGUGGUGAGGAAUUCAAGACCAAUUCUGAAUUGCGUAGGCAUGUAUAAAGGAAACAUCAAUCAGAAAAAUUGUCUUCGUUUGUGACCAGUGCAACACACGCUUUUGCCCAUUAUAAAAGAAACUCGAAGUAAAAAAUACAUUGUUUUCUGAAUACACGAGGUGCAUACAUACAUGUAUACCAUGGCAGCCGUUUUAUAUAUUCGUUUAUGUACAUUGUGAAACGAUUAUUUUUACGGUAUUAUGCUUUGUUUUACAGAGAUACUACUAAUCUUUUACAUUGCAUUUUACACAUGUUGAUUUGUCAUUUCAUUGAACCUAAGUUUUACGUGUUAUUAAAUAUAUUUCAAUGUUA
Molecule: long non-coding RNA, 475 nt
Organism: Ostrea edulis (European flat oyster)
Lineage: Eukaryota; Metazoa; Mollusca; Bivalvia; Ostreida; Ostreidae
Exons: 2
Source: RefSeq, a predicted model, not a curated record